Molecule: ribosomal RNA, 434 nt
Filed under: uncultured Solitalea sp.
Lineage: Bacteria; Pseudomonadati; Bacteroidota; Sphingobacteriia; Sphingobacteriales; Sphingobacteriaceae
Description: partial 16S ribosomal RNA
Rfam family: Bacterial small subunit ribosomal RNA
Source: RNAcentral
ACGGAAGGCAGCAGUGGGGAAUAUUGCACAAUGGGCGCAAGCCUGAUGCAGCGAUGCCGCGUGAGGGAAGAAGGUUUUCGGAUUGUAAACCUCUGUCAACAGGGACGAUAAUGACUGUACCUGUGAAGGAAGCUCCGGCUAACUACGUGCCAGCAGCCGCGGUAAUACGGAGGACCCGAGCGUUAUCCGGAUUUAUUGGGUUUAAAGGGUGCGCAGGCGGAGGAUUAAGUCAGCGGUGAAAUUCUCAUGCUCAACAUGAGAACUGCCAUUGAUACUGGUCCCCUUGAGAGAUGUCGAGGAUGGCGGAAUGUGAUGUGUAGCGGUGAAAUGCUUAGAUAUGUCACAGAACACCGAUUGCGAAGGCAGCUGUCCAGAGAUCAUCUGACGCUCAGGCACGAAAGCAUGGGUAUCAAACAGGAUUAGAUACCCUGGUA